RNAcentral lists this unclassified non-coding RNA (4279 nucleotides) under Leishmania donovani. Its description in RNAcentral is "gene:LdHU3.16.0480(CDS-product:XRN_5'-3'_exonucle ase_N-inus-_putative)". Lineage: Eukaryota; Euglenozoa; Kinetoplastea; Trypanosomatida; Trypanosomatidae. The record is from RNAcentral.
CGAUUUAUAGGCCGCCCUACCGAAGAGUGGUGAUGUGCGGAGAGUACACGCACACACUUCCCUGUAGACUGAACGCCCGCGUAGGCGCGCACACACACAGAUAAGCUCACAGACACAGGUGUCCCCCACACAUACACACGCACACACACACACACACACACACCUAUCACUAAGUAAUACAUGGGGCUUUUAGGGCUUCGCAAGUUCAUUGACUCGUGUGGGUGCACGCGGUUGCUCCCGGUGCCUCUGAGCGAUGCGGAGGCCGCGGAGGAGGUGAAGCGGCGCUUGCGAGUGGAGGGUUGCUACGAGAUCACCGGCGAGGACGCUGAUGCGGACUCGGGCGCGCUGUACGCCAACAGCGGCGAGAAGAAUGAGACAGAUGACGUUGACAGAAGAGGGGCGCGCCGGCGCCCUUUAACGUCCUCUUCGCACAUGAGCCGUCCGGAGAGCGCAGGGGCUGUCGCGACUGGCAGCUACACGCCGAUGGUCGAUCACGUGAUGGUUGACAUGAACUGUGUUGUGCACUCCUGCUUCCGUCAUCAAUGUAGCGAGAACAAGCCAAAGAGGCAGCUCAUCCAGGAGGUGCUGGAGCGGCUGCGUGUGCUCGUGACGGAGGUGGUGGUGCCGCGCCAGUCGCUCAGCAUCUGCUUCGACGGCCCGGCCCCCAUUGCUAAACUGCAGACGCAGCGGCUUCGACGGCGCAAGGUUUCCCUUCUCGACACCGGCAGUGUACAGCAGCUCAACACGCUCUCGAUCACUGCCGGGUCGCUCUUCAUGAUUGAGCUCGAGAACGCCAUCGCGUCCCAGUUUAAGCUGAACCGCGGCCGCGGCUUUCUUCGCCGUGCGUGCCCGGUGUACCUCUACGGCACUACCGUCAUGGGCGAGGGCGAGGCGAAGAUAUCGCGCGCGCUGGCCUUUCUCGCAUACGGCUCAGGUGGCACGGCAGACAGCACCACGCCGCCGCCGCAGGACGAGAAGGCACUGCUAUCUCGCAGGGAGCUCGGCAACGCUGGCCGCCGGCGCAGCAGCGUUGGUGGUGGUGGUGGUGGCCGCCAUCGGCGCAACGGCAGCGGUGGCAGCCGCGGCGAGCGCGAUGGCCGUGAUGAUGCCGCGACCGCGCCGUAUCUGCGGUGCCGUUCAGACGACACGGUCGUGGUGAUGGGCGACGACAUCGACCUUGUCCUGACAUGCCUCGGCGCCACAGCCUUCCACAACUUCAGCAUCAUCAGUCCGUCCUCUCUGCAGCUUAUUCGUGUGUCGGACAUCUUGUACCGCUGGCUGAAGGCGACCUCCGCUACCCGCGGCGACACGCCCUUCUCACCAUCGCAGCUACCGUCCAUCCGCAUCGACUUCAUUUUCCUUUUCCUGCUCAACGGCGGCGAUCACUACACCGGCGCUGGCGAGGUGGCCAUGGCCUUGUGGCGGCGCUACCGCUGUGUGCGCGCCACAUAUCCACACAGCACGCUCGUCUCGCCUAACCUCGACGCCAUCGACAUCGACUUCCUUGCAGACGUCGUGCAGUCGUCCGAGUACACGGGCUCGUCAAGCAUCGAGGUGGGCAUGGACCUUCUUCAGUCGGCUCUUUGGUCGCUCCACACGGUCGUCACGGGUGUGUGCCCAGACUACCACUACGUGCCAGCGCCAGCGGCGCCGCAGCUGUGCCACCUACGCGCUGCUGCGGCACACUGCCAGCGAACUAACGCACGCAUUUGCCUCCCGAAUGCCAAGACGGGCUCGCAGCCUCUGACGCCGCUGGAGACGUACGUGGCUCUCAUGCCGACGGAGGCGACUCUGCCGAAGAGCAUCGCUGCGGGGUUGCACAGCAAGGCGGCGUAUCAGUCUAUCCUGAAGACACUGGAGACAAGCAGUGACACGGCUUCGAUCGCGCGCGCUGCGAAAGACGCAGUCGAGGUGUCGGCGCCGUGGCUCACGAAGAGCGAGCAGUACCUCCGCCACUUCACAUCGCCAGUUCAGCUGAACGUCAAUCCGCCGCGGCGACGGCUGAGCCGUCACGAGCAGCAUCGCAUGCUGGCGACGCACGGCUACAUCCAGGUCGAGGACCCUGUCCCAGAGGUGAGGCCAAUCAGAAUGCCGGAGAAUGUGCCCUACUUGAACGUCCCCUACCUCCCCUACACAAAGUACCUCGACUUUUACUGCCCGUUCGACGUGGCGACCGCGCAGCCGCAGAAACCCGAUGAAGGCGACCAUGCCACCUUGGCGCGCCAAGCGAGCGGCGGCCCCCCUGCGAAUGGCGGCUGUCUCACGCACCUGCACGGACGAGCCGUAUCCACCCGCCCCUUUCUCUUCUCCGCAGCCGUCACUCCCCAGGACAGAAUGCAUGCUAACUGUAGCGGCGACGGCACCGUAGGAGAUGGCUCAGAUGGGGCUGCUGGCGCCGAAGGCCGGUCGGCAGAGCACAAGCGAGUGUACCUCAACCAGGAGGAGGCUGCCGAGGAAUUGCGGCAACGCGAGCGCAAGUCCGCUGCAGCGAAGCUGCAGCGUGCUCUUAACAUCACCUCUGGCAUAUUGGAGCGAGGCCAGCACUUCACAACACCACAGCAGCGGCGCAUGCAGCGUCGGCUGCACCGGCUGCAGCAGGCUGAAUCAGCGGAGCUGCGUGCCAUACUGGCGAGGGAGGACCGCAAAUACGUGUCGCGUACGGGGAAGACAGACACGCGUGACCUCGAAAGUGAAUUAAGGCAUUUCAUGGGUGAUGAUGCGUCGCCAGAUGAGGUCGCAGCGCUGAUGAGCGACGCGGCGGAUGAGCAUGCUGACGUUGCGGUUGAUGUGCGCGGGGCUGGUGUGGUGGCAAGCAGCGGCAAGGUGAGCACAACAAAAAAAAAUCUGAAGACCAAUAAAGACGUCGCUUCCGCGGCGGAGGCGCUUAGUUCACGAGAUUUUACGGUGAACCAGCGGAAGGAAUUAAAGACAGGCGCCCACCAUGACAGCAGCCACACCAACGCGGGGCGCUACGAGGACGAUAUGACGGCCUCUACAGUCCCUGCUAAGCAGCGUAAGAGGCGUGCCACGGUGCCCGCCGAUGCCGACAGUCACGCGGAUGUGGGCAAGGCAUCGACUGGUUUGAAGCAGCGCCGGCGCGAGCGUAUCGAGAGUUUUGGGGAGGACAGCGCCCGCCAACGCACGCCGUCAGGGACUAAGAAGCGGAGGAGGGUGCAGUACUGAAAGCGCAGCCACACGCGCUCAGUUCGUGUCGUGCGUGUGCCGCUGCGGUGUAGAGCGGUGCAUUAUGGAGGCAUACCGUUUGAACAAGAGGGACUCCACCACCAGCACCGCCACAGCGGCAGCAACCACACCACGUCUGCGGUCUCCUUGUGUUGCACGUGUGCCUGGAUAUCAUAAAGUGUGCACGCGAAAGUCGCGCGAUGGGCGCAGUGGGUGAGGGUUUGGGUGGAACAGCGACGGUAGCGACACACGCAGAUACGGAUGCUAACGGAUUCCUGGGCGCGUUGCUGGGUGAGGAUCACACACACACACACACACACACACAACGACAGGAUGAGCCGAGAGAGGAGGGUUGAGAGCAUGGAGACGGUAGGACCAACAUAAAACGCCCUUACUCUCGCCGCUCCGCUCCGUAUCAACUCGUCCACGACACCCACGCUCUCUCGGAUGGUUCAUCUGUGCCUCUAUGGGGGCCCGUCGCUCUGCGUUCCCUGUGCGCCUCUCUCUGUGUGUGGGUGCGCCGGUGCAGAUGAUGCCCCCCCCCCCCCAAUCCCCCGUAACUGUCGUGCUGGCAAGUCUUCGACGAUGACCGAGUGUAAUGCAAAAACCAAACAGAGGGGGCACUACGGAGCUGUCCAAACACCCAAACACAUGCGCCACUCGUGCAUAGGAAGCCGGGCGUUUUGCCGGCUGCGGAUGGACGGAGGAGGGAACCGGGGAGAACGACAGACGUCCAUCCGCCGGUCGCAACGCCUCUCGCCCCCUUCCCUUCUCCGUCUUUGCGCUUUUUGUGAAGCGAGCGAGCGAUUUGCGGGGGCGUGAGGGGCGGAAAGGAAAGGAGAGAGGCGGGGGGUGGUGCGGCUUACGAGUCCUAGAUGCCUCUUCGUGUGAGCUCGUUGCGGAGUGGGGCACAUCGUGGUAUCCCGCCGCUGUAACCGUCGUGUGCGCUUGCGAAGAAGUAGCACCUCCCAACUGUGCGUCUCUCUUUCAGAGAGACGCACGUCUGAACGCUUCGCGGACGAUAUUCGCCGUGCGCCUCUGGGGUAGGCGAUUUUGUGUGAUAUGCACACUUGAGCAUGGCGUUGCCUUCUUCCGG